AGCAGCCGCGGUAAUUCCAGCUCCAAUAGCGUAUAUUAAAGUUGUUGCAGUUAAAAAGCUCGUAGUUGAAUUUCGGGGUUCUACCGUUGGUCGGGCUUUGUCUGUACUGGCGUGUAGAAUUUCUACCUUCUGGGGAACCAUCAUGUUAUUAAUUUAGCGUGGUAGGAAACCAGGACCUUUACCUUGAAAAAAUUAGAGUGUUCAAAGCAGGCUUAUGUCUGAAUACAUUAGCAUGGAAUAAUAGAAUAGGACGGUGGUCCUGUUUUGUUGGUUUCUGAAUCACCGUAAUGAUUAAUAGGGAUAGUUGGGGGCAUUAGUAUUCAAUUGUCAGAGGUGAAAUUCUUGGAUUUAU
RNAcentral lists this ribosomal RNA (352 nucleotides) under uncultured Racocetra. RNAcentral's name for it is "SSU rRNA". It matches the Rfam family "Eukaryotic small subunit ribosomal RNA", at positions 569 to 929 of the family's 1831-position model. The record is from RNAcentral. Lineage: Eukaryota; Fungi; Glomeromycota; Glomeromycetes; Diversisporales; Gigasporaceae.